RNAcentral lists this ribosomal RNA (433 nucleotides) under uncultured bacterium. Its description in RNAcentral is "partial 16S ribosomal RNA". It matches the Rfam family "Bacterial small subunit ribosomal RNA", at positions 29 to 507 of the family's 1533-position model. The record is from RNAcentral.
AACGAACGCUGGCGGCAUGCCUAACACAUGCAAGUCGAACGAGACCUCCGUGUCUAGUGGCGCACGGGGGCGUAACGCGUGGGAAGCUGCACUUAGGUUCCGAAUACCUCCCUGUAAGGGGUGCUAAUACCGGAAAAUGUCUUCGGACAAAAGAUUUAUCGCCUUGUGAUGGGCGCUCGUUGGUUUAGCUUGUUGGGAGUGUAAAAGCCUAUCAAGGCGAGGAUGCUUAGCUUGUAUGAGAGGAUGAUCAGCCACACUCGGACUAAGACACGGCCCAGACUCCUACGCGAGGGGGGAGUGGGGAAUACAGGACAAUGGGGUAAGUCCUGAUCCAGCAAGGGUUGGUGAGUCAUUAUGUUGGUAGGGAAGUGAAGCUGUUUUACACGGGGUGAUAAUGACGGUACCGGGAGAAUAAGCACCGGCUAACUUCGUG